UACAGAGGGGGCAAGCGUUGUUCGGAAUUACUGGGCGUAAAGGGCGCGUAGGCGGCCUUCUAAGUCGAACGUGAAAUCCCCGGGCUCAACCCGGGAACUGCGUCCGAUACUGGAAGGCUUGAAUCCGGGAGAGGGAUGCGGAAUUCCAGGUGUAGCGGUGAAAUGCGUAGAUAUCUGGAGGAACACCGGUGGCGAAGGCGGCAUCCUGGACCGAGAUUGACGCUGACGGCGCGAAAGCCAGGGGAGCAAAGCGGG
Molecule: ribosomal RNA, 255 nt
Filed under: uncultured bacterium
Lineage: Bacteria
Description: partial 16S ribosomal RNA
Rfam family: Bacterial small subunit ribosomal RNA
Source: RNAcentral